UACGGGGGGGGCAAGCGUUGUUCGGAAUUACUGGGCGUAAAGGGCUCGUAGGUGGCCAACUAAGUCAGACGUGAAAUCCCUCGGCUUAACCGGGGAACUGCGUCUGAUACUGGAUGGCUUGAGAUUGGGAGAGGGAUGCGGAAUUCCAGGUGUAGCGGUGAAAUGCGUAGAGAUCGGGAGGAACACCAGUGGCGAAAGCGGCUCUCUGGUCCAAAACUGACGCUGAGGGGCGAAAGCGUGGGGAGCAAACAGG
RNAcentral lists this ribosomal RNA (253 nucleotides) under uncultured bacterium. Its description in RNAcentral is "partial 16S ribosomal RNA". It matches the Rfam family "Bacterial small subunit ribosomal RNA", at positions 524 to 776 of the family's 1533-position model. The record is from RNAcentral.